GAUGAACGCUGGCGGCGUGCCUAAUACAUGCAAGUCGAGCGAACAGACGAGGAGCUUGCUCCUCUGACGUUAGCGGCGGACGGGUGAGUAACACGUGGAUAACCUACCUAUAAGACUGGGAUAACUUCGGGAAACCGGAGCUAAUACCGGAUAAUAUAUUGAACCGCAUGGUUCAAUAGUGAAAUACGGUUUUGCUGUCACUUAUAGAUGGUUCCGCGCCGCAUUAGCUAGUUGGUAAGGUAACGGCUUACCAAGGCAACGAUGCGUAGCCGACCUGAGAGGGUGAUCGGCCACACUGGAACUGAGACACGGUCCAGACUCCUACGGGAGGCAGCAGUAGGGAAUCUUCCGCAAUGGGCGAAAGCCUGACGGAGCAACGCCGCGUGAGUGAUGAAGGUCUUCGGAUCGUAAAACUCUGUUAUUAGGGAAGAACAAAUGUGUAAGUAACUAUGCACGUCUUGACGGUACCUAAUCAGAAAGCCACGGCUAACUACGUG
RNAcentral lists this ribosomal RNA (497 nucleotides) under uncultured bacterium. RNAcentral describes it as "partial 16S ribosomal RNA". It matches the Rfam family "Bacterial small subunit ribosomal RNA", at positions 28 to 507 of the family's 1533-position model. The record is from RNAcentral.